Molecule: ribosomal RNA, 493 nt
Filed under: uncultured bacterium
Lineage: Bacteria
Description: bacterial SSU rRNA
Rfam family: Bacterial small subunit ribosomal RNA
Source: RNAcentral
GGCGGCGUGCCUAACACAUGCAAGUCGUACGAGAAAGCCGGCUUCGGCUGGUGAGUAAAGUGGCGCACGGGUGAGUAACGCGUGGAUAAUCUGCCCUUAAGUGUGGAAUAACGUACCGAAAGGUGCGCUAAUACCGCAUAAUGCCUGGCAACACAAGUUGUCCGGCCAAAGAAGGCCUCUGUUUACAAGCUUUCGCUUCAGGAUGAGUCCGCGUACCAUUAGCUUGUUGGUGGGGUAAUGGCCUACCAAGGCUGCGGUGGUUAGCUGGUCUGAGAGGAUGAUCAGCCACACUGGAACUGAGGCACGGUCCAGACUCCUACGGGAGGCAGCAGUGAGGAAUAUUGCGCAAUGGGGGCAACCCUGACGCAGCAACGCCGCGUGAGUGAGGAAGGUUUUCGGACUGUAAAGCUCUGUCGAGCGGGAAGAAGUGUACCAUGGCUAAUAUCCAUGAUAUUUGACGGUACCGCUAGAGGAAGCACCGGCUAACUCCGUG